CAAAACUAAACUAUGAUACAGAAUCAGUGUUAUUAUGAAUGUUAGUGUUCUGUCAGCAUGAUUUAGUGCAGGAGGUUUUUGUACAGCUGAUGAUUGGCUUUGUAUCACUGUGGUACACAUUUGGUGGAGGCACUCGACUCUCAGUUGGAACUGCGGCUCGUCCCACUGUGGCGGUGCUUUGGCCCUCCAGAGAUGAGCUGCAGAAGGGUCAGGCUACAGUGAUGUGUGUGGCCAGUAAGGGAUUUCCCUCUGACUGGACGCUGAGCUGGAAGGUGGGCGACAGCAGCAGGAGCUCUGGUGUGAAUAUGAGUCCCAGUGAGCUGCAGGAGGAUGGACUGUACAGCUGGAGCAGCAGCCUGAGCAUCACUGAGAGUGAGUGGAGCAGAGCAACAAGCAUCAGCUGUGACGCCACACACCCGUCCCAGCACACAGUGAGCCAGAGGAUACACACACAGCAGUGCCAUGAUUAGCAGCACUGAACAUACGCAAGCAUGCACGCACACACAGGUUAUAGACAUGCCUUAAUAUUAAUUCACACACUCAAUCAAAUGUUUGUCCACAUUGUUUUCAAGUUUGCUCUAUGUUCUAUUUUUCUUGUUCCAUUUUAAAGUUUUUCUUCCCACAUUUGUACACAUUCUUUGAUUUAGUUGUAUUAAACAAUUAUUUUGCAAAAUAAAAGCUUUUUGAAUCAUUAA
Danio rerio (zebrafish) is the source of this 695-nucleotide non-coding RNA. The record is from the annotation of a RefSeq genome assembly. Lineage: Eukaryota; Metazoa; Chordata; Actinopteri; Cypriniformes; Danionidae.